Molecule: ribosomal RNA, 552 nt
Filed under: uncultured archaeon
Lineage: Archaea
Description: bacterial SSU rRNA
Rfam family: Archaeal small subunit ribosomal RNA
Source: RNAcentral
GUCAGCAGCCGCGGUAAUACCUGCAGCCCGAGUGGUGGUCGAUUUUAUUGAGUCUAAAACGGUUCGUAGCCGGGUCCGGUAAAGUCCCUGGGGUAAAUCGGGGAAGCUCAACUUUCCCCGAAUUCCCGGGGAGACGUGCCGGACUUUGGGACCGGGAGAGGCUAGAGGUACUUCUGGGGUAGGGGUAAAAUCCUGUAAUCCUGGAAGGACCACCGGUGGCGAAGGCGUCUAGCUAGAACGGAUCCGACGGUGAGGGACGAAGCCCUGGGUCGCAAACGGGAUUAGAUACCCCGGUAGUCCAGGGUGUAAACGCUGCAGACUUGGUGUUGGGGGCCCUUUCGGGGGCGUCCAGUGCCGGAGAGAAGUUGUUAAGUCUGCUACUUGGGGGGUACGUCCGCAAGGAUGAAACUUAAAGGAAUUGGCGGGGGAGCACCGCCAACGGGAGGAGCGUGCGGUUUAAUUGGAUUCAACACCGGAAAACUCACCAAGGGCGACUGUUACAUGAAGGCCAGGCCGACGACCUUGCCGGAUUUUCAGAGGAGUGGUGCAUGG